AACAGGAUUAGAUACCCUGGUAGUCCACGCCGUAAACGAUGUCGACUUGGAGGUUGUGCCCUUGAGGCGUGGCUUCCGGAGCUAACGCGUUAAGUCGACCGCCUGGGGAGUACGGCCGCAAGGUUAAAACUCAAAUGAAUUGACGGGGGCCCGCACAAGCGGUGGAGCAUGUGGUUUAAUUCGAUGCAACGCGAAGAACCUUACCUGGUCUUGACAUCCAGAGAAUCCUGCAGAGAUGCGGGAGUGCCUUCGGGAACUCUGAGACAGGUGCUGCAUGGCUGUCGUCAGCUCGUGUUGUGAAAUGUUGGGUUAAGUCCCGCAACGAGCGCAACCCUUAUCCUUUGUUGCCAGCACGUAAUGGUGGGAACUCAAAGGAGACUGCCGGUGAUAAACCGGAGGAAGGUGGGGAUGACGUCAAGUCAUCAUGGCCCUUACGACCAGGGCUACACACGUGCUACAAUGGCGCAUACAAAGAGAAGCGAACUCGCGAGAGCAAGCGGACCUCAUAAAGUGCGUCGUAGUCCGGAUUGGAGUCUGCAACUCGACUCCAUGAAGUCGGAAUCGCUAGUAAUCGUGGAUCAGAAUGCCACGGUGAAUACGUUCCCGGGCCUUGUACACACCGCCCGUCACACCAUGGGAGUGGGUUGCAAAAGAAGUAGGUAGCUUAACCUUCGGGAGGGCGCUUACCACUUUGUGAUUCGUGACUGGGGUGAAGUCGUAACAAGGUAACC
RNAcentral lists this ribosomal RNA (731 nucleotides) under uncultured bacterium. RNAcentral describes it as "bacterial SSU rRNA". It matches the Rfam family "Bacterial small subunit ribosomal RNA", at positions 771 to 1501 of the family's 1533-position model. The record is from RNAcentral.